Molecule: ribosomal RNA, 255 nt
Filed under: uncultured bacterium
Lineage: Bacteria
Description: partial 16S ribosomal RNA
Rfam family: Bacterial small subunit ribosomal RNA
Source: RNAcentral
UACGUAGGGGGCAAGCGUUGUCCGGAAUCAUUGGGCGUAAAGCGCGUGUAGGCGGCCUUGUAAGUCCGUUCUGAAAGCCCGGGGCUCAACCCCGGGAGGCGGAUGGAUACUGCAAGGCUCGAGUACGGAAGAGGCGAGUGGAAUUCCCGGUGUAGCGGUGAAAUGUGCAGAUAUCAGGAGGAACACCGGUGGCGAAGGCGGGUCUCUGGGCCGAUGACUGACGCUGGAGGAGCGAAAGCGUGGGGAGCGAACAGG